UCNGUAAACCUACGCUAGCUUCUGCAC
This 27-nucleotide non-coding RNA is filed under the name Mus musculus (house mouse). Lineage: Eukaryota; Metazoa; Chordata; Mammalia; Rodentia; Muridae. The record is from RNAcentral.